AUCCUGGCUCAGGACGAACGCUGGCGGCGUGCUUAACACAUGCAAGUGGGGCGACGAACCAGGCUUCGGCCUGGGGCAAAGCCGCGAACGGGUGAGUAACACGUGGAUAACCUGCCCCGAAGACCGGGACAACCCGGGGAAACCCGGGCUAAUACCGGAUGUGGUCACCGUCCACAAGGACGGUGAGCAAAGGAAGCUUCGGCCUCCGCUUCGGGAGGGGUCCGCGGCCCAUUAGCUUGUUGGUGAGGUAACGGCUCACCAAGGCGACGAUGGGUAGCUGGUCUGAGAGGACGAUCAGCCACACUGGGACUGAGACACGGCCCAGACUCCUACGGGAGGCAGCAGUGGGGAAUCUUGCGCAAUGCGCGAAAGCGUGACGCAGCAACGCCGCGUGAGCGAAGAAGGCCUUCGGGUCGUAAAGCUCUUUCAGCAGGGACGAAGCUCCGGCAGCGAAUAGCUGUCCGGAGUGACGGUACCUGCAGAAGAAGCCCCGGCUAACUACGUGCCAGCAGCCGCGGUAAUACGUAGGGGGCUAGCGUUGUCCGGAAUCAUUGGGCGUAAAGCGCGCGUAGGCGGCCAGAUAAGUCCGGUGUGAAAGUCACAGGCUCAACCUGUGAAUGCCGCUGGAAACUGUCUGGCUAGAGUCCGGAAGGGGCGAGUGGAAUUCCUGGUGUAGCGGUGAAAUGCGCAGAUAUCAGGAGGAACACCAAUGGCGAAGGCAGCUCGCUGG
RNAcentral lists this ribosomal RNA (730 nucleotides) under uncultured bacterium. RNAcentral's name for it is "bacterial SSU rRNA". It matches the Rfam family "Bacterial small subunit ribosomal RNA", at positions 16 to 732 of the family's 1533-position model. The record is from RNAcentral.